GCUAUUUCAGGUUGGUUGGAUGUUAAUAGAAGUGCAUAAGGUCUAUCCCAAAACUGUUAGUACAUUGCCCGAGUCCUUGGCCUUUUUAUUAUUACCUGAAUUACCCCAGAUGGUGUGCUACUACUACUAGUAGGUCGCUGUAUGUGUGUACAUGUGUGCAUCAACUCGAUUGUUCACUCUUUGCGCCCCCAGACAGGUCUUGCUACUGUAAAAGUAUUUUAGAGCAUAGUCGGUAGACGGCCAAUAUUGAAACGGAGUUCUCCGCUAGACAGACUGCCGGUAGUCAUCGCGGCUAUGGAUACUGCUGCAACAGUUGCUAAUUCUCUUCACUGGGCGCUGUGCAACCUGAUGUCUGCCGUGCAGCGCACUAUGGCUAGAUUGGUACAUGCUCAGUCCGCUGAUCAAGAAAAGGCUCAACACGCCGAAGAGCGUGUGGCGACGCCUUCACAACAAGCAAAUUCGCAGGCGUCCCCUGCCAACUCAAAUCUAAUGCCGGCCCGUUCCCAUCCAAUGCGUACCCGUUCGCAAAAAGGAUCCAUAGUCAGCUGAGAAGCAAUGAGAAGAGGCCAGGUCCACGGACCAUCCUACCAGUGUUGUAGGGCCUCAAAUCUAUUCCGAAUGAACAGUACCUCCGAAUGUAUCAGCCACAAAUUUGCAUCUUGACAACAUGAUGCAUGCGCAUGCGCGCGUGUGUGUGUGAGUGUGUUUGUGUGUGCGUGCGUGUGCGUGCGCCCUGCAAGCGUGCGCGUUGGUGUGACACUGUGUGUUGCGAGCCUUGUUUGAAAAGUGCAAACGGCGUCUUCUCACCACAUCUGUGUCUGCUUAGUCUGCUUGUUGCAUUUGCCGUGCGCUGGACAGUAGAACUUGAUCAAUCCAAGGUGCAGUUGUCUUUCGCUUUUACGCGAAGCCAAGAGAAGCGGUGUUUGAUGGAGAAUACAAUAUGUACAAGGCCUAAAACUGCUGCUUAAUAUUGUUUAAAUACUAUUAUCCACUUCCUACGGCAAAACAACUUCACAUUAUUAUACGCUCUUUACCAGCCUAAUCAUAAAUCAGAGAUUUCACAUAAACCCGUUUUCAGGGUAUCGACUUCAGUAAUAAUUUUUUCCUCCUCCCUUUUCUUUCUUGUGUUGUACCUUCUUGGAGAUCACGUAGUGAGGCAAAUAUGCCUGUUUGUCCAUCGACGCUAACACAUCAA
This is a long non-coding RNA of Sycon ciliatum, 1195 nucleotides long. RefSeq lists it as uncharacterized. Lineage: Eukaryota; Metazoa; Porifera; Calcarea; Leucosolenida; Sycettidae. The record is from RefSeq and is a predicted model, not a curated record. The transcript is spliced from 2 exons.